This 253-nucleotide ribosomal RNA is filed under the name uncultured bacterium. Its description in RNAcentral is "partial 16S ribosomal RNA". It matches the Rfam family "Bacterial small subunit ribosomal RNA", at positions 524 to 776 of the family's 1533-position model. The record is from RNAcentral.
GACGAACCGAGCGAACGUUGUUCGGAAUCACUGGGCUUAAAGGGCGCGUAGGCGGGCUGUCAAGUCUGGGGUGAAAUGCCGCGGCUCAACCGUGGAACUGCCUCAGAUACUGACGGCCUCGAGGGAGGUAGGGGCGAGCGGAACUAAUGGUGGAGCGGUGAAAUGCGUUGAUAUCAUUAGGAACUCCGGUGGCGAAGGCGGCUCGCUGGAUCUCUUCUGACGCUGAGGCGCGAAAGCUAGGGGAGCAAACGGG